CAAGAUAACGAAUAGGGGCUUGGAGCAUGUAAUCGUCAAAUGCUCUAUGCUCUGGUCUAAAGAGCCUAAAUUUUUAUGCACUAAGAGACGACUUCCCGGUUGUAGUUGGUGGUUGAGCUAGGUUCCGGCAUUCAAGGCAACGGUGUAUUCUCAGAUGGCUUUGAAACUCCAAAUGGUAUAGCAAACGCAUCUUCCAUCGAACGCCAGAAGCCAGUUUGGAGUAAUACUAUCUGAGUAACAUGAGUAGUGACACCUGUAUUUGUUUUUAUGGUUUUCGUUUUCAAUACAAGUUGGAUUCGAUACUUUUCCCUUAGCGAUAUUACCGGUACCACCAUAGCGAGGGCUUUUACACGUGCUUGCAUCACUACCUUCAAGGAAUAUAAUUUUGUAAUUUGAUAGCCGAACGACAAUAUAUAUUUUAUUUACUUCUUCAAA
This is a long non-coding RNA of Helianthus annuus (common sunflower), 435 nucleotides long. RefSeq lists it as uncharacterized. The record is from RefSeq and is a predicted model, not a curated record. The transcript is spliced from 3 exons. Lineage: Eukaryota; Viridiplantae; Streptophyta; Magnoliopsida; Asterales; Asteraceae.